ACUUAAAUAGCUUAAGAAGUAAGAAGAGUAUAAUAUUGAAGAUAUUAAGGUGAUAAGAUAUCUUUAAGUA
This 70-nucleotide transfer RNA is filed under the name Grimpoteuthis sp. RNAcentral describes it as "tRNA-Phe". Lineage: Eukaryota; Metazoa; Mollusca; Cephalopoda; Octopoda; Grimpoteuthidae. The record is from RNAcentral.